GAUGAACGCUGGCGGCGUGCCUAAUACAUGCAAGUCGAGCGAACAGACGAGGAGCUUGUUCCUCUGACGUUAGCGGCGGACGGGUGAGUAACACGUGGAUAACCUACCUAUAUUACGGGGAGAACUUCGGGAAACCGGAUCUAAUACCGGAUAAUAUAUUGAACGGCAGGGUUCAGGAGAGAAUGACGGUUUUGGUGUCAGUUAGAGAUGGAUCCGCGUCGCAUUAGCGAGUUGGUAAGGUAACGGCUCACCAAGGCAACGAUGCGUAGCCGAGCUGAGAGGGUGAUCGGCCACACUGGAACUGAGACACGGUCCAGACUCCUACGGGAGGCAGCAGUCGGGAAUCUUCCACAAUGGGCGAAAGCUUGACGGAGCAACGCCGCGUGAGUGAUGAAGGUCUUCGGAUCGUAAAACUCUUUUAUUAGGGAAGAACAAAUGUGUAAGUAACUAUGCACGUCUUGACGGUACCUAAUGAAAAAGCACCGGCUAACUACGUG
Molecule: ribosomal RNA, 497 nt
Filed under: uncultured bacterium
Lineage: Bacteria
Description: partial 16S ribosomal RNA
Rfam family: Bacterial small subunit ribosomal RNA
Source: RNAcentral